CCUACGGGGGGCUGCAGUGAGGAAUAUUGGUCAAUGGACGAGAGUCUGAACCAGCCAAGUAGCGUGAAGGAUGACUGCCCUAUGGGUUGUAAACUUCUUUUAUAUGGGACUAAAAUGUUCCACGUGUGGGAUUUUGUAUGUACCAUAUGAAUAAGGAUCGGCUAACUCCGUGCCAGCAGCCGCGGUAAUACGGAGGAUCCGAGCGUUAUCCGGAUUGAUUGGGUUUAAAGGGAGCGUAGGUGGAUUGUUAAGUCAGUUGUGAAAGUUUGCGGCGCAACCGUAAAAUUGCAGUUGAAACUGGCAGUCUUGAGUACAGUAGAGGUGGGCGGAAUUCGGGGUGUAGCGGUGAAAUGCUUAGAUAUCACGAAGAACUCCGAUUGCGAAGGCAGCUCACUGGACUGCAACUGACACUGAGGCUCGAAAGUGUGGGUAUCAAACAGGAUUAGAUACCCCUGUAGUC
Molecule: ribosomal RNA, 460 nt
Filed under: uncultured bacterium
Lineage: Bacteria
Description: partial 16S ribosomal RNA
Rfam family: Bacterial small subunit ribosomal RNA
Source: RNAcentral